This 200-nucleotide ribosomal RNA is filed under the name uncultured bacterium. RNAcentral's name for it is "partial 16S ribosomal RNA". It matches the Rfam family "Bacterial small subunit ribosomal RNA", at positions 29 to 225 of the family's 1533-position model. The record is from RNAcentral.
AGUGAACGCUGGCGGUAGGCCUAACACGUGCAAGUCGAACGGCAGCACAGGAGAGCUUGCUCUCUGGGUGGCGAGUGGCGGACGGGUGAGGAAUACAUCGGAAUCUACCUUUUCGUGGGGGAUAACGUAGGGAAACUUACGCUAAUACCGCAUACGACCUACGGGUGAAAGUGGGGACCGCAAGGCCUCACGCGAUUAGA